This 453-nucleotide ribosomal RNA is filed under the name uncultured Bacteroides sp. RNAcentral's name for it is "partial 16S ribosomal RNA". It matches the Rfam family "Bacterial small subunit ribosomal RNA", at positions 341 to 792 of the family's 1533-position model. Lineage: Bacteria; Pseudomonadati; Bacteroidota; Bacteroidia; Bacteroidales; Bacteroidaceae. The record is from RNAcentral.
ACGGAAGGCAGCAGUGAGGAAUAUUGGUCAAUGGGCGGAAGCCUGAACUAGCCAAGUCGCGUGAAGGAUGAAGGUAUUAUGUAUUGUAAACUUCUUUAGCAGUGGAGUAAUAAGGAGCUCGUGAGCUCUGAUGCAAGUACACUGAGAAUAAGGAUCGGCUAACUCCGUGCCAGCAGCCGCGGUAAUACGGAGGAUCCGAGCGUUAUCCGGAUUUAUUGGGUUUAAAGGGUGCGCAGGCGGCUUUUUAAGUCAGCGGUAAAAUCGUGGGGCUCAACCCCAUCCUGCCGUUGAUACUGGAGAGCUUGAUUGCGGUCGAGGUUGGCGGAAUUCGUCGUGUAGCGGUGAAAUGCAUAGAUAUGACGAAGAACACCGAUUGCGUAGGCAGCUGACCAGGCCGUAAAUGACGCUCAUGCACGAAAGUGCGGGGAUCGAACAGGAUUAGAUACCCUGGUA